Catharus ustulatus (Swainson's thrush) is the source of this 1021-nucleotide long non-coding RNA. RefSeq lists it as uncharacterized. The transcript has 4 exons. Lineage: Eukaryota; Metazoa; Chordata; Aves; Passeriformes; Turdidae. The record is from RefSeq and is a predicted model, not a curated record.
CAUCACUUGAUAAUGCUGAUUGUCACUGCCAAAUACAAGUUUAAGCACAGCUCCUGUUCCCACCCUGCAGCGUUUAUCAAGCUGGUCCCCUUCAAAAUGGAUGCACUUCUGCAGAGCCUGCAGACAUGAUUUAAUGAUUAGCCAAGGGCCAUGCUGAGGACCAAAGAAGCCAUCACCUCAAAUUAUUCCUCAUCCCUUCUGUGGACAACCUGUGACAAUUUUUGACUGAACUCUUUGAAACCCAGUGUACUGAUUUCAACCCAGAGAAGAGAAAGAGUGCAGUUACCUAAUACAUGUGAAGCAACAGCAGUAGAGCUGCCUUGACAUCACGCUGCUUGUUACUGAGAGUUUUACUAAAUAUGAUUUUCUAGUCUAGUCCAGUGUCUGAGGCAAGUGGACAGAUGUGGCAAGAGGAAGGAAAAUUAUGCUGAGACCUGGCAGUAUGGCAGGGUGGUUAGGAAGAUAAAUCCUCUAGAGGGGAAAGAAUUCAGGAAAGCUCUACUGUAAAUGAAGAAAUGAAAAACUGUGGGCUAGCCAGAAAGUCUCCAAGACAAAUUAGAUGGCUAUGUCAUCACCAGCUUUAUGAAGUUUAACAAAGGGCAAGGUAAAGCGCGACUGCUGCUUGAAAGAAGAGCUGGUUGAAGAGUGCACCCAUCCUGCAGUUUGCCCAUCUACAGGUUCCAUGACUGUUUGGAAACAGAUGAGCAUCACGCUUUUAUCCAGCCUCUGUUACUGGAAGCUCAGUUCUCCUCUCCUCCUGCUGUCUGCUCCUGAGAGACCUGUCCCUGCCAACACGCCUUUGACACAAUUGGUAUUCCCAGUGUGAGCGAGGCACCAGCAGCAGCAGGGAGGUGAGUUAAAGCAGCGGGUGUGCUCAGGAACCAUCCUCUGAGCAUGGCCUCCCACUCUUUGCAGUGAUGUUCCUGUGCAUGCUGUGGGGUUGAAGCAGGACAAGUUGAGACGGAUGUAGCAGGGACAGCUGAGUGCAGGAAUUGUCUUCCCUAGCACAAGAAGAGGCUGA